This 733-nucleotide ribosomal RNA is filed under the name uncultured bacterium. RNAcentral's name for it is "bacterial SSU rRNA". It matches the Rfam family "Bacterial small subunit ribosomal RNA", at positions 771 to 1501 of the family's 1533-position model. The record is from RNAcentral.
AACAGGAUUAGAUACCCUGGUAGUCCACGCCGUAAACGUUGGGCACUAGGUGUGGGACCCUAUCGACGGGUUCCGUGCCGUAGCUAACGCAUUAAGUGCCCCGCCUGGGGAGUACGGCCGCAAGGCUAAAACUCAAAGGAAUUGACGGGGGCCCGCACAAGCAGCGGAGCAUGUGGCUUAAUUCGACGCAACGCGAAGAACCUUACCAAGGCUUGACAUGCAGGGAAAUCUCACAGAGAUGUGAGGUCCGCAAGGGUCCUGCACAGGUGGUGCAUGGUUGUCGUCAGCUCGUGUCGUGAGAUGUUGGGUUAAGUCCCGCAACGAGCGCAACCCUCGUUCUAUGUUGCCAGCGCGUUAUGGCGGGGACUCAUAGGAGACUGCCGGGGUCAACUCGGAGGAAGGUGAGGACGACGUCAAAUCAUCAUGCCCCUUAUGUCUUGGGCUGCACACAUGCUACAAUGGCCGAUACAAAGGGCUGCUAAGCCGCGAGGUGGAGCGAAUCCCAAAAAGUCGGUCUCAGUUCGGAUUGGGGUCUGCAACUCGACCCCAUGAAGUCGGAGUUGCUAGUAAUCGCAGAUCAGCAACGCUGCGGUGAAUACGUUCCCGGGCCUUGUACACACCGCCCGUCACGUCACGAAAGUCGGUAACACCCGAAGCCAGUGGCCCAACUCGCAAGAGAGGGAGCUGUCGAAGGUGGGAUCGGCGAUUGGGACGAAGUCGUAACAAGGUAACC